GUGUCGAACGGGUGAGUAACACGUGAGCAAUCUGCCCUUGACUCUGGGAUAACUGCGGGAAACUGUAGCUAAUACCGGAUAUUACCUUGGAAGGCAUCUUCUGGGGUGGAAAGAAUUUUGGUCAAGGAUGAGCUCGCGGCCUAUCAGCUAGUUGGUGAGGUAAUGGCUCACCAAGGCGACGACGGGUAGCCGGCCUGAGAGGGUGACCGGCCACACUGGGACUGAGACACGGCCCAGACUCCUACGGGAGGCAGCAGUGGGGAAUAUUGCACAAUGGGCGCAAGCCUGAUGCAGCAACGCCGCGUGAGGGACGACGGCCUUCGGGUUGUAAACCUCUUUUAGUAGGGAAGAAGCGACUGGGUUUUCCUGGGAGUGACGGUACCUGCAGAUAAAGCACCGGCUAACUACGUGCCAGCAGCCGCGGUAAUACGUAGGGUGCAAGCGUUGUCCGGAAUUAUUGGGCGUAAAGAGCUCGUAGGCGGUUUGUCGCGUCUGCUGUGAAAACCCGAGGCUCAACCUCGGGCCUGCAGUGGGUACGGGCAGACUAGAGUGCGGUAGGGGAGAUUGGAAUUCCUGGUGUAGCGGUGGAAUGCGCAGAUAUCAGGAGGAACACCAAUGGCGAAGGCAGAUCUCUGGGCCGUAACUGACGCUGA
RNAcentral lists this ribosomal RNA (653 nucleotides) under uncultured Cryobacterium sp. RNAcentral describes it as "bacterial SSU rRNA". It matches the Rfam family "Bacterial small subunit ribosomal RNA", at positions 95 to 749 of the family's 1533-position model. Lineage: Bacteria; Bacillati; Actinomycetota; Actinomycetes; Micrococcales; Microbacteriaceae. The record is from RNAcentral.